Long non-coding RNA from Engraulis encrasicolus (European anchovy), 869 nucleotides. RefSeq lists it as uncharacterized. Lineage: Eukaryota; Metazoa; Chordata; Actinopteri; Clupeiformes; Engraulidae. The transcript has 3 exons. The record is from RefSeq and is a predicted model, not a curated record.
UCACUAGCAGGAAGUUGGGCGUUUUUUGCGACUCCGAGAACUGCAGGUUGUCAUUGUUAUAAGAUGGUAGUUCUACUGUAAUACCAUGGUCAAUUUUUUGCCCUGCUGAAUGGAUGUACGCUUUGCACAUCAUGUUGUUACUAAAAUUACGUGCACACACACGCGUAUCUAGAUUCAGCAGUGCAUCCAGCCUUGUUUCUAUGGCCGCAAUGUAAUCGUUACAACUCUCGUCUCGAAAUGAACAGGCUCAGCUGGUAGCCUACUCUAACGAGUCGCUCUUUAUUCCCUCUUGCAUUAUUCAUUUUCAGGUGGUGGAAAAAGUACUUGCAAGUGUGAUAUCGACCCUCAACAUCAACCCAAGACGGAAGAUGAACCGGGGUGUAGCAGUUGGAUUGAGGUAUCCAGGUGUCAGUACUACAUACACAUGAGGCUUGGACUCAGUACAUUCCACCUGAUGACUGGGAGCAGCAGAGGGACCUUUUGCGACCUGUCAGGAGGAAGACCAGAUUGACGUUGAGGAGGCGAGGCAGGAGGAGAAAUACCUGACAGUGAUUCCAGCUUUCAGUCUUCUGAUGGUCAAAGCACACUGGAGAGACCCGCACAAAGGCUUAAGAAGCAAGGUGGCCGAAAACUUUGAUGACAUCAAUAAUACUACCUUGGUUAAGGGCAUCAAGAAAAUGUCAUGAGGUCACCAGACAUCAGCUCUCGAAUCCAGUGUCAUCAACCAAUUCACACUACAAUGCAACAGAGAGAGCAGGCAAAGACAAGUAAAGGGGACCUACGCUACAGCAUUCGGAAACCAAAGUAAAGACCAGGAAGUGCGUCAGCUAAGCCAGUCAAAUGUGUGUGUGUUUUCUUAAAUGUGUGUA